RNAcentral lists this long non-coding RNA (547 nucleotides) under Cyanistes caeruleus (blue tit). RNAcentral describes it as "lncRNA (ENSCCEG00000005788.1)". Lineage: Eukaryota; Metazoa; Chordata; Aves; Passeriformes; Paridae. The record is from RNAcentral.
CUCAGGUAAACUUCCUGGUUGCUUAAAAAUAAUUUGUUUUAUCUCUAAAGAGACUGAAAGAAUGGAUAAAUCUGCUGCAGCAAAGCAAUAGAGCUUUUGAGUUCAUGUAGCACAUGUAGAAGAAACCUACUGUUAGGAAGAGCUGAUGAUUCGUCUCCAGUUUCAUAUGGCAGAAAUCUCCAAAUCUAAAGAGCCCCUCCAGAAGUGGCCAACAAGGCUGAUACCACUGAAGAGGAUGAUGAGGGAAGCAGAGAAACAAAAGGAAGAGGCAAAGAGGCUGAUUGAUGAUCCCCAUCUCAUCAGUAGCCUUUUUAAAAGGAAGGAAACACACCAAAAGUUCCUCACUCCAAGCUCCCUGGAACCUCCAUGUGGAUUGAGGGCUGUGUGACCUUUAACUUCAUCUUUCCAUGACAAUAAGCACCACAAAAGUCAACGACUGGAGUACAUUUGUGACAGUAUUUGCAGAAACAAAUCCAGAAAAUCCUUCUGGGGUUCUUAGUAACCUUCCAAACGCUGAAUAAUAAAUAAGCCCUUUGAAGUGAGUACA